RNAcentral lists this non-coding RNA (161 nucleotides) under Terrisporobacter glycolicus. Lineage: Bacteria; Bacillati; Bacillota; Clostridia; Peptostreptococcales; Peptostreptococcaceae. The record is from RNAcentral.
AAAUAUUUUAGGUUCUUUAACGAUUAAUAGGGAAAGAGGUUAAAUUCCUCUACAACCCCCGUUACUGUAAUGUGGACGAAACUCAGCGUACCACUGUAGUGUAAACUAUGGGAAGGUGAGGAGUAGAAUGAAACUAAGUCAGGAUACCUGCCUAAAAUAUC